CCUACGGGAGGCAGCAGUGAGGAAUAUUGGUCAAUGGACGAGAGUCUGAACCAGCCAAGUAGCGUGAAGGAUGACUGCCCUAUGGGUUGUAAACUUCUUUUAUAUGGGAAUAAAAUGUUCCACGUGUGGGAUUUUGUAUGUACCAUAUGAAUAAGGAUCGGCUAACUCCGUGCCAGCAGCCGCGGUAAUACGGAGGAUACAAGCGUUAUCCGGAUUUAUUGGGUUUAAAGGGAGCGUAGGUGGAUUGUUAAGUCAGUUGUGAAAGUUUGCGGCUCAACCGUAAAAUUGCAGUUGAAACUGGCAGGCUUGAGUACAGUUGAGGUAGGCGGAAUUCGUGGUGUAGCGGUGAAAUGCUUAGAUAUCACGAAGAACUCCGAUUGCGAAGGCAGCUUACUAAACUGCCACUGACAUUGAUGCUCGAAAGUGUGGGUAUCAAACAGGAUUAGAUACCCCAGUAGUC
This 460-nucleotide ribosomal RNA is filed under the name uncultured bacterium. RNAcentral's name for it is "partial 16S ribosomal RNA". It matches the Rfam family "Bacterial small subunit ribosomal RNA", at positions 338 to 795 of the family's 1533-position model. The record is from RNAcentral.